UGUUUUCUUUUAAAAAUAGGCAACAACAAAAAAAAAAAAUAUAAAGACAAAAAACCCCCAUCUUCAAACGACGGAGAGAAAACGGGAAAAUACAGGACAAAGUUUGGAGGGGCCGGACCCCCUCACCCCGUUCUCAAUUUUGAAGAGGAUCCCAGAUUUUCAAGUCUAUGUCCUGCAGGAGAGAGUCCCUUUGCCACCAUGAUUGGUGCAGAUGAGUCGGGAGUGUGAUGAAGCACAGGCGGAUUCUGACAACAGGAAGCUACGCUGGAAGGAGAACGCGGGACAAACGCCAGACCCUUUCAGCCUCGCUUUCCUCCCACUGAGGAUGGAGGCGCCUCCCGGCUUCUGCCCCCCGUCUGCAACACCUCCCACCCAGCAGAGAAGCACCGCCCAAACACCACCUAUUCGUGGAGAAGCACCACCCAAACACCUCCUACCCAGCGGAGAAGCACCACCCAAACACCUCCUACCCAGCGGAGAAGCACCACCCAAACACUACAGCUUUCCCCUCUAGCUGCACCUCUUCAGCUGCUCCUUCUCUUCUGGGACAGACAGCUGAAGAGAGAGAGCUGAAGGCUGCUGGAGAUAAAGUCUGAGAUUCGCUCGGAUUUCAGCUCCUCCCGCCCCGCUCCCCGCCCCCCGCCCCCCGAGGCCCUGCGGUGCGGGGGCUCAUACGACGCGGUGUAAAGCGCAGGGCGGCGAAGGGCCACAGCGUCCGGCGGGAGACGGCAGUAAUGUAAAAUUACCGUAAGAAGGGUCUAGCUCAGGCGCUGGCUGGCCGCCCAUGCCCUUGGGACCUUGUGGGAGGGCCCUCACACCUCAGGACCCGGAGUGAACAGGAAGUGACUUUCUCUAGACACGUCCUGGGGAUGUGUACUGUACAGGGGUCAGGAAGAGGAAAUUGGCCACAGGAAGGUGUGUUGUGGGAAGUGCGUGCUGUACCAUUCUCAAAUAAUUAAAGAGUGCUCGGCUGGCAUGUGGACCACAGGACAAAAACACCCUCUUUGACCGGUUCUCACAUGCACCAAAAAACUAAGGUGAAGGGCAGAAGCCGUGUCUGGGCUCCCGUGAACUUCGAUGCACACGCUCUUCAGAGGGGAGUUCAGAGGUCACCAAAACAAACUUGCCAAGGCGUGAUUUGAGGAAGGAAACCUAUCCCUGGCAUUAAUCUUAGAGCGGGCCCCCCGUGGCGAGUCGGGACCCAGGAUGCAAAGCGAGAGCGUGUCCGCAUACCUUCUCUCUUCAUGCCCAUGGCGAGACACUUCUGGUACCGGCAGUACUGGCAGCGGUUGCGCUGGCGCUUGUCGAUGAUGCAGUCCUUGUUGUCGCGGCAGGUGUAGGUCAGGUCCUUCCUCACUGUCCUCUUAAAGAAGCCCUUGCAGCCCUCGCAGCUGUACACCCCGUAGUGUUUACCUGCGGGGACACAGGUAACCGGUGAGGGGGGGGGGCUCUCUGGCAUGCAGUCUGGAGAGAGCCCUUGCCGUUUCCAUGGCAGCCACAGGUACCACGCCCUAUGAUUUCUGAAGAUUUAUUUGUUAGGUUUAGUGACCACUAAUAAUGUUGAGCAAGAAAUGAAAAGGGGCAAAGUAAAACUUUCUCUCACUGAUAGCAUCUUUUGCAGAUAGCAUCUACAGCGGAUAGCAUCUCUGACAGGUAGCAUCUCUCACAGAUAGCAUAUCUUUAUUUUUAUUGAGUAGCGUUUUAAUUUCAACUCUUUGAUAAUGUCCUUUUAUGAUGUGUUUCUUUUGCAAUUUGUCUUAUUGCUUUUAAUGUUUUAUGUAAAGCACUUUGAAUUUCCUUGUUGUUGAAAUGUGCUAUACAAAUAAACUUGCCUUGCCUCACAGAUAGCAUCUAUUGCAGAUAGCAUCUCUAGCAGAUAGCAUCUUUAGCAUAUAGCAUCUCUCACAGGUAGCUGUUGCGCAAACAUGAGGGUUGAGCUGCGUUUAACCUGAGUAAAGGCUCCACAUGAGAGCCAUAAAC
Long non-coding RNA from Anguilla rostrata (American eel), 1980 nucleotides. RefSeq lists it as uncharacterized. The record is from RefSeq and is a predicted model, not a curated record. The transcript is spliced from 6 exons. Lineage: Eukaryota; Metazoa; Chordata; Actinopteri; Anguilliformes; Anguillidae.